GCGCUAAUCAGCACUCUGUAAAAACAGACCAAUCAGCACUCUGUAAAACAGACCAAUCAGCGCUCUGUAAAAUGGACCAAUCAGCAGGAUGUGGGUGGGGCCAAAUAAGGGAAUAAAAGCUGGCCACCCGGGCCAGCAGCAGCAACCUGCUCAGGUCCCCUUCCAUGGUGUGGAAGCUUUGUUCUUUCGCUGUUCACAAUGAAUCUUGCUGCUGCUCACUCUUUGGGUCCGCACUAGCUUUAUGAGCUGUAACGCUCACUGCGAAGGUCUGUGGCUUCACUCCUGAAGUCAGCAAGACCACGAACCCACCGGAAGGAGGAAACAACUCCGGAAGCACCACGUUUAAGAGCUGUAACACUCACUGCGAAAGUCUGCAGCUUCACUCCUGAAGUCAGCAAGACCACAAACCCACCGGAAGGAAGAAAUUCCAGACACAUCUAAACAUUGGAAGGAACAAACUCCAGACACACUAUCUUUAAGAACUGUAACACUCACCGCGAGGGUCUGUGGCUUCAUGCUUGAAGUCAGCCGGACCAAGAACCCACCGGAAAGAACCAAUUCCUGACACAAUCAGACAGAGAAUGCUGAUUCACUAUGCAGUGAAACAUGCCUAACGUGUCAACAGCUAAAUGCCCGGUGACAGUGUGGUUGUCUGGGCAACAGAAGAAGUCACCCACGCAAACACUUAAAGGACCAUACUUAUUUUACAAGAGGAACAGUUUUCAAUGGAAUGGAUAUUAAAACACACACCUGGAUCCCUUUACCACAGGUGCUUUGAGAGGCACCAUCAAGGACAGUGAGCUAACGCAGGAGAAUGGAGUCCCAGAAACCUAGGAGGAGAAGACAAAGUGUCAGCCUCUCGGCAUCUGCAGUGUUGCUAGGAAAAGAGCUCUGAUCCCAGGGGCUUACCCACUUCCACAGGUAGGAAGCGUCCCUGAGAGGACUGGAACAUUAGCAUAUCUCAGAUCCAUCUGCAAAACUUUUGCAAACACGGAACUCCCUCGUUCUAAUCUUAUCAGCAACUUCCAGAGCUGAACCUUGAUUAAUCUGGAUACAAAAAGGAUUGAAACGCCACAUAAUAAGCAUUAACAGGAGGGUGUUUCCUUUAUCAAUGAAGCUUGAUUUAUCCAUGAUGAUCUAGUGCAUUCUCCUCCCAAAAAUCAGGAUCAUCCUCUGCAUAUGAAGGAACAGACAAGCCCUCAGCUCUACCACUUUGGAGAGGGGGGGAUUGGACAGCAUGAGCCUUCAAUUGUAUCUCUUGGAUGACCAAGGAAGGCUGGAUUUCUGCACCUAAAAAAUGGAAGCACAAACUGUACAACAAAUACUCUCCAUUCAAGUUGAAGUUCUCAAAUAAGUUUUGAAAGGUUCACUCCAGCUACUCUGUUGACAAUGGAUUAUAGAAGACUGAACAUGGAAUCCAGGAGACCAGUCAGAAAACUUCUUCAGGAAUCCAGCACAGUCUUGGCCUGUUCUGGAGAAUGCUCCCCAUCAAAAAUAAUUGACUGGAGACAAGCCAAGUCAGGAUUCUCCCUGGGAUCAAUUUCUGAUGGCGCUUUCUUCAUAAACAGGGGGACCUUUUCAAAUUCCUCUUCCCACUGGUCCUCAUGAAAGCCGCCACGGUAAGGCUGGCUCUGGAACUUUUCCAGGAACAAGUCCGUGGCAUCGUCUGAGGUGGGGUCCUGCUCAGGUUACUCCAUAACUGAUGCCCUGCCCUCCAGCCCAGGUCCCGGCACCGUGAAGUGUAGAAAAUACUCUACAAUGAAUAAAAAUAAAAUACAAUAUUCAAGAUUUAUGAAUGCAAUAAAAGCAGUGGUCAGAAGGAACAUUUAAGCUCUAAACACAUUAAAAAAGAAGAA
Molecule: long non-coding RNA, 1856 nt
Filed under: Homo sapiens (human)
Lineage: Eukaryota; Metazoa; Chordata; Mammalia; Primates; Hominidae
Description: HSALNT0340655
Source: RNAcentral